This 194-nucleotide ribosomal RNA is filed under the name uncultured bacterium. RNAcentral describes it as "partial 16S ribosomal RNA". It matches the Rfam family "Bacterial small subunit ribosomal RNA", at positions 1305 to 1500 of the family's 1533-position model. The record is from RNAcentral.
CUGAAAUUCGCCUUCAUGAAGCCGGAAUUGCUAGUAAUGGCAGGUCAGCAUACUGCCGUGAAUACGUUCCCGGGCCUUGUACACACCGCCCGUCACACCAUGAGAGUUGGGAAUACCCGAAGCCUGUGAGCUAACGUAAGAGGCAGCAGUCGAAGGUAGAAUCAAUGAUUGGGGUGAAGUCGUAACAAGGUAUC